Molecule: ribosomal RNA, 279 nt
Filed under: uncultured bacterium
Lineage: Bacteria
Description: partial 16S ribosomal RNA
Rfam family: Bacterial small subunit ribosomal RNA
Source: RNAcentral
UGCCAGCAGCCGCGGUAAUACGAAAGGGGCUAGCGUUGUUCGGAAUUACUGGGCGUAAAGGGUGCGUAGGCGGCCCAUCAAGUUAGACGUGAAAGCCCCGGGCUCAACCCGGGAAUUGCGUUUAAUACUGGUGAGCUAGAGUACGAGAGAGGAAAGUGGAAUUCCUAGUGUAGAGGUGAAAUUCGUAGAUAUUAGGAAGAACACCAGUGGCGAAGGCGACUUUCUGGCUCGUAACUGACGCUGAGGCACGAAAGCGUGGGGAGCAAACAGGAUUAGAUA